UGUGGAACCUAGAGCCUCACUCAUGCUAGCCAAGUGCUCUCCCACGGAGCCACACCCUUGCCUUCUGUCUGUGUGCACGUACCAGAACCUUUCAACACUCCCUUCCUCAUGUGACCAUGGAGUCAUGGAUGAUGACUCUCUGAAUCUUUCGAACUCUUUUCUGUUUAUUUUAUUGUACAUGUUUGCAGUAGAUGCAGUUUACAUUCAUCUUGAGAGGUAUAUCAGUUUUCCUACAAAUGCCUCAAAUUUACCCUUCUUUAUAGCCAAAAGUAUUCCAUUAUAUAUAGAUACCGCAUUCUUUAUCAAGUCAUCUGUUGAUCAACUCAUCUCUUCCUCGGCAAAUUCGCACACUUCAAGCUUUCCCUGGCGUGGCCUACACGACGGAGGAUACCCUCUUCUCACUAGCUGGUAAUCCAGCCCUUACUGCUGACCACAAUAAGGCCUGGCCAACAAGUCCCAUGAGGAACAGGACAUCCACCUGUUAGGGCAGAGCCCCACCCUCUUAAUUACCCCCAAACCUCACCUCCUCAUAGGUCCCACAGGAUUAGGGUUUCAACCUUGGAGCACUCUGUGGGCUAAGUGCGUGUCAAGGGAGGAGGGACGAAGCCCAGGG
RNAcentral lists this long non-coding RNA (613 nucleotides) under Heterocephalus glaber (naked mole-rat). Its description in RNAcentral is "lncRNA (ENSHGLG00100036371.1)". The record is from RNAcentral. Lineage: Eukaryota; Metazoa; Chordata; Mammalia; Rodentia; Bathyergidae.